AGUGAACGCUGGCGGUAGGCCUAACACAUGCAAGUCGAACGACAGCACAGUAAGAGGUUGCUCUUACGGGUGGCGAGUGGCGGACGGGUGAGGUAGACACCGGAAACUACUUUUUCCUGGGGGAUCACGUAGGAAAACGUACGCUAAUAACGGAUUCACCCUACGGGUGUGAGCAGGGGUUCGUCCACCCUCGCGCGAGUGUAUGAGCCGAGGUCGGAGUAGCUAGUUGGCGGGGUAAAGGCCCACCAAGGCGACGAUCCGUAGCUGGUCUGAGAGGAUGAUCAGCCACACUGGAACUGAGACACGGUCCAGACUCCUACGGGAGGCAGCAGUGGGGAAUAUUGGACAAUGGGCGCAAGCCUGAUCCAGCCAUACCGCGUGGGUGAAGAAGGCCUUCGGGUUGUAAAGCCCUUUUGUUGGGAAAGAAAAGCAGCAGGUUAAUACCCCGCUGUUCUGACGGUACCCAAAGAAUAAGCACCGGCUAACUUCGUG
RNAcentral lists this ribosomal RNA (492 nucleotides) under uncultured bacterium. RNAcentral describes it as "partial 16S ribosomal RNA". It matches the Rfam family "Bacterial small subunit ribosomal RNA", at positions 29 to 507 of the family's 1533-position model. The record is from RNAcentral.